RNAcentral lists this ribosomal RNA (448 nucleotides) under uncultured bacterium. RNAcentral's name for it is "SSU rRNA". It matches the Rfam family "Bacterial small subunit ribosomal RNA", at positions 26 to 518 of the family's 1533-position model. The record is from RNAcentral.
AGAACGAACGCUGGCGGCAGGCCUCAAACAUGCAAGUCUAGGGGGCGUAGCAAUACGUCACCGGCGGACGGGUGCGUAACACGUGGGAAUGUACUUAUUGGUUCGGAACAACUCAGGGAAACUUGAGCUAAUACCGAAUGUGCCCGUAAGGGGAAAGAUUUAUCGCCAAUAAAUCAGCCCGCGUCCGAUUAGCUAGUUGGUGGGGUAAAGGCCCACCAAGGCGACGAUCGGUAGCUGUUCUGAGAGGAAGAUCAGCCACACUGGGACUGAGACACGGCCCAGACUCCUACGGGAGGCAGCAGUUGGGAAUCUUGGACAAUGGGGAAACCCUGAUCCAGCCAUGCCGCGUGAGUGAUGAAGGCCUUAGGGUUGUAAAACUCGUUUCGGCGGGGACGAUAAUGACGGUACCCGCAGAAGAAGCUCCGGCUAACUUCGUGCCAGCAGCCGC